CUGUCACAGACUAAAGUGCAGUGGCGUGAUCUCGGCUCACUACAACCUUUGCCUUCUAGAUUCAAGCGAUUUUCCUGCCUCAGCCUCCCGAGUAGCUGAGAUUACAGUCACACACUAAGGUGCCCGGCUAAUUUUUGUAUUUUCAGUGGAGAAGGGGUUUCACCACGUUGGUCAGGCUGGUCUGGAACUCCUGACCUCAGGUGAUCUGCCUGCCUCAGCCUCCCAAAGUGUUGGGAUUACAGGCAUGAGCCACCGUGCCUGGCCAUGCAAUACUUAGAGUCACAGAAGUUUAUGGUUAGAUAAUUCUCACAGAGGUGACCUGGUUCAGCUCUACCAUAUCAGAUUUCUUACAAACAAAGGGCUUGGAUGAUAGACCAUGGUCGACAGC
Molecule: long non-coding RNA, 388 nt
Filed under: Homo sapiens (human)
Lineage: Eukaryota; Metazoa; Chordata; Mammalia; Primates; Hominidae
Description: non-protein coding lnc-F13A1-3:24
Source: RNAcentral